AUGGCAUCCACUAGCAAGGCGUUUAGGCAGUGUGUACAUCCGUGUCGGCGUUAUUUGACACCUGAUGACACACACAGUCUUUGCGUCUUUUGUUUGGGCGAAGAGCACGCACGCGACGUCCUUGAGGGGGCGAUUUGCGUGCAUUGCGAGCGUUUUUCUAUGAAAAAGCUCCGCUCUCGUCUGUCUCUCUUUUCGAGAAAAGAGGGACAGCCAUCUGCUUCCCGCGGUUCAGGACCCGCCGCUGCUGAGGCACGGAGGAGAAUGAGCUCGUGGGGAUCGCAGGUGGAUCUCGCUGAGGAGUUUAGAGAGGGACUUUCCCUUUCACGCUCUUCGGCGGCAGACGAGAGUGAACUUCAGGAAGAAGAUGUGUUGUCAUUAACACUUUCUGAUACUGAAGUUAGUGCUCUGCUGGGUUCUGCCCAGGAAGAGCAGGAGAUGUCUGAGGGUGAAGAAGCUGAGGCUGAGCCUUCUCAAUCUUCCUGCCCUGCGUAUGCGGAGCUGUUAGAGGUUAUGGAGCGCGCCACGGCAAAGUUGGACUUGCCAUGGAAGCGUGCCAGCAAAGUGACGCCGCGUGGUCGCCUCGACGAGCGUUAUUUGUCUGACCAUAGCCCUCCAGCCCAGGUGAGCCUUCCAUUUUUGCCUGAUUUACACACAGAAAUCGAAAAAGAAUGGAAGAGGCCGUUUUCUUCUCGCAUCCAUCGGUUUCAGCAUACGAGUUAUGCCAACAUCGAGGGGAUGCGCGAAAGCGGCUAUGAGAAGAUGCCCCCUGUAGAAGAGACGCUGGCUAGCUAUCUCUCUGUGGGGGAAACAUCCUCUCUUAAACCUCCCUCUUUGCCAUCUAAGCCCCUACAGGAUACAUCCCGCUUAAAUGGCAGAGCAUACGCAGCAGCAGGUCAGGCUGUGGCUUCGUUGCACACAAUGGCAGUGCUUCAGGCUUAUCAGGCUGAUCUGCUGAAGGACCUGGAUAAAGGCGAGGGCCUUUCAGCUGACCAGGUAGCCGAGCUGCGCCGCACCACAGACCUCUCUCUCCGUGCUACCAAGCAGGCCGCCUCCGCCAUGGGUAGGUCUAUGGCAGCCAUGGUGGUAACGGAGAGACAUCUGUGGGUGAACCUGGCAGACAUCGGGAGGAAGGAAAGGGGCUUUCUUCUCGAUGCUCCGGUCUCGCCUUCUGAACUUUUCGGUACCUCCGUCGAGACGGUGGUCGAGAAGUUCAGGGAGGCAAGGACGCGCUCGGCUGCCUUUAAAUCCUUCAUUCCACGAAGGUCCAGGUCCGAGCCCGAACAACAUAGGGGUCCUGGCCCGUCUCGGUCUGAGGAUCAAAGACGGGCGCAGAAGGCUAGUGUCGCGGCUCGCGCUCCUCCCCCGCCUGCGGGUAGGGGUAAGAGGAAUCGUGGGUCACGAGGACAUAAGCAGGACCUGAGGGAUGUGAUUCAGACGAGGCAGCGUACUCGUCCGAAUCAGAGCGAUACCUAG
Molecule: long non-coding RNA, 1473 nt
Organism: Cyprinus carpio (common carp)
Lineage: Eukaryota; Metazoa; Chordata; Actinopteri; Cypriniformes; Cyprinidae
Source: Ensembl